This 542-nucleotide ribosomal RNA is filed under the name uncultured bacterium. RNAcentral describes it as "bacterial SSU rRNA". It matches the Rfam family "Bacterial small subunit ribosomal RNA", at positions 355 to 896 of the family's 1533-position model. The record is from RNAcentral.
UGAGGAAUAUUGGUCAAUGGGCGAGAGCCUGAACCAGCCAAGUAGCGUGCAGGAAGACGGCCCUAUGGGUUGUAAACUGCUUUUAUGCGGGGAUAAAGUGAGGGACGUGUCCUUCAUUGCAGGUACCGCAUGAAUAAGGACCGGCUAAUUCCGUGCCAGCAGCCGCGGUAAUACGGAAGGUCCGGGCGUUAUCCGGAUUUAUUGGGUUUAAAGGGAGCGUAGGCCAUGGAUUAAGCGUGUUGUGAGAUGCAGGUGCUCAACGUCUGCACUGCAGCGCGAACUGGUUCACUUGAGUGUGCACAACGCAGGCGGAAUUCGUCGUGUAGCGGUGAAAUGCUUAGAUAUGACGAAGAACUCCGAUUGCGAAGGCAGCUUGCGGGAGCACAACUGACGCUGAAGCUCGAAAGUGCGGGUAUCGAACAGGAUUGGAUACCCUGGUAGUCCGCACGGUAAACGAUGGAUGCCCGUUGUCAGGCUGUUUCAGUCUGGUGACCAAGCGAAAGCAUUAAGCAUCCCACCUGGGGAGUACGCCGGCAACGGUG